CACUAUGGCGUGACUGCGCGGGCAGCCUUCUGGCUGGCCGUUGUUCCUGUACGGUAUUUCCACCCCGCGCAUGAUCGCCGCCCUC
Molecule: non-coding RNA, 85 nt
Filed under: Candidatus Kentrum eta
Lineage: Bacteria; Pseudomonadati; Pseudomonadota; Gammaproteobacteria
Source: RNAcentral